Small nuclear RNA from Suncus etruscus (white-toothed pygmy shrew), 105 nucleotides. The record is from RefSeq and is a predicted model, not a curated record. Lineage: Eukaryota; Metazoa; Chordata; Mammalia; Eulipotyphla; Soricidae.
GUGCUCUCUUCAGCAGCACAUAUACUAGAAUUGGAAUGAUACUGAGAAGAUUAGCAUGGCCCCCGUGCAUGGAUGACACGCAAAUUCGUGGUGUUCCAUAUUUAA